AUUUGACAGAGUAUGAAAAUAAGAAAACUCAUUGGCUAUGUGUCUUAUCACAGUGCCAAAACUCCAGUUGUUGACAGAAAAGA
Small nucleolar RNA from Sciurus vulgaris (Eurasian red squirrel), 83 nucleotides. Lineage: Eukaryota; Metazoa; Chordata; Mammalia; Rodentia; Sciuridae. The record is from Ensembl.